AACUGGGAUUAGAUACCCCACUAUGCCUAGCCAUAAAAAAACAACCAAACAACCAGUUGUUCGCCAAAUAACUACGAGUGAAAACUUAAAACUUAAAAGACUUGACGGUACUUCACACCAACCUAGAGGAGCCUGUCUAAUAACCGAUAAUCCACGAUAAACCCAACCCAACCUAGCCAACAAUCCAGUCUAUAUACCGCCGUCGCCAGCCUACCUUGUGAAAGAAAAAGAGUAAGCACAACAGCACACACUAAUACGACAGGUCGAGGUGUAACUCAUGGUUGGGAAAAAGAU
This 294-nucleotide ribosomal RNA is filed under the name Psammophis schokari. RNAcentral's name for it is "partial 12S ribosomal RNA". It matches the Rfam family "Bacterial small subunit ribosomal RNA", at positions 770 to 1221 of the family's 1533-position model. The record is from RNAcentral. Lineage: Eukaryota; Metazoa; Chordata; Lepidosauria; Squamata.